AUUGAACGCUGGCGGCAUGCUUUACACAUGCAAGUCGAACGGCAGCGCGGGGCAACCUGGCGGCGAGUGGCGAACGGGUGAGUAAUACAUCGGAACGUACCCAGAAGUGGGGGAUAACGUAGCGAAAGUUACGCUAAUACCGCAUACGUUCUACGGAAGAAAGUGGGGGACUUUCGGGCCUCAUGCUUUUGGAGCGGCCGAUGUCUGAUUAGCUAGUUGGUAGGGUAAAGGCCUACCAAGGCGACGAUCAGUAGCUGGUCUGAGAGGACGACCAGCCACACUGGGACUGAGACACGGCCCAGACUCCUACGGGAGGCAGCAGUGGGGAAUUUUGGACAAUGGGCGCAAGCCUGAUCCAGCAAUGCCGCGUGAGUGAAGAAGGCCUUCGGGUUGUAAAGCUCUUUUGUCAGGGAAGAAACGGUCGGGGUUAAUACCUCUGGCUAAUGACGGUACCUGAAGAAUAAGCACCGGCUAACUACGUGCCAGCAGCCGCCGUAA
RNAcentral lists this ribosomal RNA (498 nucleotides) under uncultured bacterium. RNAcentral's name for it is "partial 16S ribosomal RNA". It matches the Rfam family "Bacterial small subunit ribosomal RNA", at positions 30 to 523 of the family's 1533-position model. The record is from RNAcentral.